UCAAAACACCUUACAUCUCUCUCCCUAUUUUUCUCUCUCCCAGAAAGUCGAGAGCCACCACAACCGCCGCCGCACCAGAAAGUCUCCGAUCAAGAAUGACCCAGCCGCCGGUAAUUCCGCCGGAGAGGAAAACAAAACAAAAAAACUCAAACAAAUAUCCUUCAAUCGAUCGGCAAAAAACCCCCCACUCUUUUGAUCGAUAUAUAUACACUAGGAAAAGAAAAAGUUCUCCAUCAUUUCUUUUCAACAAAUAUGCAGCAACAUCACAGAAACUUUAGAGUAUGUAUAUAGCAUCGGCCAGUGGGAUCUGACUAAUGAGUGGAAGCUUUAGAGUUGAUUAUAAAAUCGCAGAAACUUACUUGUACUGUUGGGGACAUGGCCGAUCCAAGUUCAUAAGCCAUAUCGUUGUUAAAACUCUCUCUGUUCUACGAAAAAAAAAUCUGAUUUAUAGUAUUUGUCAAUAAUGCUCUGAUUUAUAGUAUUCUCCAUUAUCAAGCAGACAAACACUGGGGAAAGAAAAAGGAAAAAGGAAAAAGGAAAAACAGAAAAGAGAAAUUUGCAGCAACAUCGCACCCAUCAUUCACCAUUAUUGAGCAGACCAGUGUUGGAGAAAGAAAAAAGAAAAACAAAAAAAUAGUGAGAAAUUUUAGAUCUGCGGCUGUCAAAAUGUCAUCGCCCCUAUUCUGCCGCCGCGCAAGCUUGGAAAAGCUCCGAAAAAGUAUGACUUCCAUCCCAUAGAUCUAUUAAUAACUUAAAAAAUUAGUCAAUUUCUGCUAUAAGAAUUAUUGUUGAAUAUGAAAAGUUCAUAGAAGAUGUAAACAAGCAAUUUAGUGACUUAUCGAUCAAAACCUUGAGACGAUUUCCAUGGGGGAGAGAAGGAUAUCGUUUCUGCAAUUAACGAAGACAAUGAUUGAUUUUUGGAUGGUAGUGCACUUGACAACGAUUGUUUUGUUACUGAAUUUUUGGAUGAACGGGAUGAGGAGAUUUGUCUGAGAUUUGAUUCUCAGAUCUAGAUUUUUGGAUGAACGGGAUGAGGAGAUUUUUGGAUGAAUUUUUGGUACACUUGAUUUGAUUCUGAGAUUUGUCUGAGAUUUUUAAUUUUGGUUAUGUUGUUUUACACUUUUGC
This 1126-nucleotide long non-coding RNA is filed under the name Panax ginseng (ginseng). RNAcentral describes it as "long non-coding RNA (PGIN_LNC017861)". Lineage: Eukaryota; Viridiplantae; Streptophyta; Magnoliopsida; Apiales; Araliaceae. The record is from RNAcentral.